RNAcentral lists this ribosomal RNA (460 nucleotides) under uncultured bacterium. RNAcentral's name for it is "partial 16S ribosomal RNA". It matches the Rfam family "Bacterial small subunit ribosomal RNA", at positions 338 to 795 of the family's 1533-position model. The record is from RNAcentral.
CCUACGGGCGGCAGCAGUGAGGAAUAUUGGUCAAUGGACGAGAGUCUGAUCCAGCCAAGUAGCGUGAAGGAUGACUGCUCUAUGGGUUUUAAACUUCUUUUAUAUGGGAAUAAAACAGGGUAUGCAUACCCUCUUGUAUGUCUCAUAUGAUUAAGGAUCGGCUAACUCCGUGCCAGCAGCCGCGGUAAUACGGAGGAGCCGAGUGUUAUCCGGAUGUAUUGGGUUUAAAGGGAGCGUAGGUGGAUUGGUAAGUCAGUUGUGAAAGUUUGCGGCUCAACCGUAAAAUUGCAGUUGAAACUGGCAGUCUUGAGUACAGUAGAGGUGGGCGGAAUUCGUGGUGUAGCGGUGAAAUGCUUAGAUAUCACGAAGAACUCCGAUUGCGAAGGCAGCUCACUGGACUGCAACUGACACUGAUGCUCGAAAGUGUGGGUAUCAAACAGGAUUAGAUACCCCUGUAGUC